GUACUGCCCCUAGCGGAUAAGGUAGUGUACUACACCGAUGCUACGAAGGGCUGUUGCAGACGAAUGGUGUUUUCUCUUUUUCUUUUGUUGUUGUUUUGAAGUUUUCCAAAAGAAUUUGUUUGUAAGAAUGUGAUUGAAAAUUUUUUAAAUUUAAUUAUUAUAUUGUUGUUGAGUUUUGAAGUUGGUAUGACAUGCUUCAGGAGAUAACAGUAAAAUGAGGAAAAUUCCAAGACACUUGCAGCUGAAUAAAUGAUGCCCCUGUCUACCUGGCUGCUGAAGUUUUGAAUUGUAAUGAAAUUCUGCAUAAGAUAACAAGAAAACUAGAGGCAUUCCAAGACACUUGCUGUUGGCCAUCAGAAAUGAUGAAGUAACAAGCAACGGCUUACCAUUGUUAGAGUUACCAUUACUCAAUAAGGUUUUCGAGUUGCCAUUGUCCAUUGCUUUAGGAAGUGUUGCCCAGCAUCCAAGCCGUUUUCUAGCAUGAGAUUUAAUUAGGUAAAUUCUUCUUCACUGCUAUUCUUUGGAUUGGUGAACUUUUGUUACUACUCCUCUCUCUAUUGUAAGCUCAUUGUGUUGGUGGUGUAUUUUUUUAAUGAUUAGAUAAGGAUAAUUUUUUUAAAGGACUGGAUACAACAUAGUCAUCCAGAAUUUUAUUAAUAAGAUAUCUUUGCUUUUUUUCAAUUACAACACAUAGAUAUCAUAUUUGUAGUUAUUGACUUUCAGAAUUAAAUUAGCUCCUAUCACUUGCAUUACAGAAAUAGUUUAUGUCGAUGUUUUAGAGAGCUUCUUGUGAUUUGAAGCGUUUGUUUCGACAAGUGCAAGUUUUGGUAACGUUUUGCCUCAAAAUGAAAUCUAAUUUGAACAUAUUCUAUUAUUAGAUAGGAAAGUGUUCCAGGAUGUUGUGAACAAGAAAUAGGGAUUAGACUUAGCUCCUUAAUCUUGGACAGAACUUCUUCGUAGCUGUCUAGAACAAAGAUAUGGUUAGGAGAUGAGAAAUGGGAGUCGAUUACGUUCUCUACCUCGCGAAACGUUCUGAACAUCGCGGCAGUUGCAUACUUCAAAGAACGAUCAUUUCUUUGGUAUGUGUACAAAGCUGGCAAGAAGUCUUCCAAUAGCGUUUCUUCGGUUUUCAUCAAAUUGUUGCAGUCUUUGCAGGUACCACAUACCUCAUGGUGCGUGUGAAUAAGAUAUCCGCACAAGUCCUAUACUAACUCGUAUCGAGUAAUGUCUGAUUUUCCGUCAGGAAUAUCGUUUGUGGAUCGGGCAAGUAAUUACUUUUUGAGGCUGUCUUUUAGAUUCUUCUUGAUUUCUUUCGCCUCUUACUCGCACUCGCGAAAUUUGUAGACAAGGCACUGUUUGUACGCAACCAAAAUUUAACCAGCGUCUUUUCCGUCGACGUUGGCAUUCCGGAUGGCAACUUUUGUCGGGUUGUAGAGAGAAAGAAUUCGAAAUAUGUAUUGCCAAGAGUUCGCAGUAGGAUGGUCAUCGAUUGACGCGCA
Daphnia pulicaria is the source of this 1499-nucleotide long non-coding RNA. RefSeq lists it as uncharacterized. The transcript has 3 exons. Lineage: Eukaryota; Metazoa; Arthropoda; Branchiopoda; Diplostraca; Daphniidae. The record is from RefSeq and is a predicted model, not a curated record.